This 2129-nucleotide long non-coding RNA is filed under the name Fragaria vesca (wild strawberry). RNAcentral's name for it is "long non-coding RNA (FVES_LNC000939)". The record is from RNAcentral. Lineage: Eukaryota; Viridiplantae; Streptophyta; Magnoliopsida; Rosales; Rosaceae.
CCUUCUCCUUUUUCUUUCUUUUUCCGUACUAUUUUUUUCUUUCUAAUAAUUGUUUUUCCUGCACCAAUUGAAGGAACACAUAGAAUAGAAAAGUGGGUGCAGCACCCUAACGCAGCCCUCUGUACGACUACCCCUAACCCCUGCGCCCCUCACCAACAGCCUAGCUUCGAUCUACUCUGAGUUGGCACCCCCAAUCCACCAGCCCAGCCUUACCUUGGCCCUCAAUUGCCAUCUUCGUAUCGGUCGGCGCACCCCAUAUCAGCCACCAAACACAGCUGCUCUGACGCACCUUUAGCCAAAACGGGCUGAACCUCGAUCGAAGCUAGGCUAAUUUGCUCUGACCCUGCAGCACCUCGAGCCCAGGUCACCAACCCGAACCCGAUCGACCCAAGCUCUGGCCAAACCUAGCACGUGCGGACCCGAUCGACCCAAGCUCGGAGAUCCUAUCCAGAGCGGAGCCCCGCUUUGAAAUUAAAGUGUGUGGCUCUUUAUUUAGCUCACUUUUCGGUUACAUUUUCACAUUUCGCACUAUUCAGUGUCUAGAUAUUAGUGCGUAGAUUUUUUGUAUAAAGUUUCAUCCAAUUUGAAGAUUAUUUGAGCUUUUGUAAUCAUGAUUUACACGAACGGUUUCAUUUGAAUAAAUUUUGUUCUAUUGCUAAUUUAAUCUAAUUCGGUAACCAAAUGAUCUCCAAACUAGAUGAACUUUGCAUAGAUGAUCUACACACUAGGUUCUAGAUACUAAAUGGUGGAGAUGUGAAAAUGUAACAAAAAAGUGAGCCAAAUAAGGAGCCCCACACUUUAAUUUCAACACUGAGCCCCGCUUUGGAUAUUGCCACCCCACAAUCCACUUUACCAAUGAAUUACAUACAAAAUUUUUUAUUAAGAUGCAACCAUCAAUAAUCAACAUCUCAAAGGAGUUUUUUGAUAUGAUUCAAAUUUUUUAUAACAAUCGUAUGUUUUUUUUUCAAACAUCACAUACAUGCUUAGCGAAAUUCCAUCAUUUGUUGCUAUAAAGAAAAACCCUGAAAUACAUCGUUUCACACUAUUAAUGAACAUAUAUUAUAUGUUAAAAACCUCUCUUGGGGUUCCAAUUGAGACAACAUGAGGUCCUCAAAUGAACUUGAGUAAGGAACAAAUAAAAGAGAUACGCCAGGUAUAUUCUAAAAGAAAAUUGUAUGACUUUGACUCCAUAAGGGUAAGAAAUAGAGUAUGACUUUCUUUUAAGGAAUAUCUAUUUAAUAUAUAUAUAUAUUAUAAAAGAAAUUAUAUCUAAUAGUUAAAAUAUAGAGGAAAAAUUGAAAGGCCAAUUAUAAAAAGGUCAUUUUGAAGAUAUGAAAUGAUGAAAUGGUUACUAAUUCUUCCAUCAUGAUAAAAAAAAAAUAACUCUAUAAUUAUAGUUCCCAAACUGUCUUUAUAUAUACUUCAAACAAAAUCAUUAAGAGUGUCAUCGUCUCCAAAAAAAAAUACUUGAUACGAUCACAAUAACGAUUCUCUCUCUCUCUCUCUCUCUCUCUCUCUCUCUCUCUCUCUCUCUCUCUCUCUCUCUCUCUCUCUCUCUCUCUCUCUCUCUCUCUCUCUCUCUCUCUCUCUCUCUCUCAGGAUCCAGAUCGAAGCUGAAGAAUGGACACGCUCCACCACGUGGCGCCGCCAUGAGUAAUGACCGUUGAAAGGAGGGGUCUUUAAUUAACAUGAAUUAUAGGGUGAGUAAAGUGGUUUGUGGGAUGACAAUAGACGCACCCAAAGAAAACUUUUCAUUAGUUCUUUAUAGUUUAUGUUUGGUCAUCCCACAAUUAAUUUCCCACCAUUUAUGUAUGCCUUUUUUUUUAAAGUAAUUAUGUAUGCCUUAUUUAUACCAUAAUCGUGUAAUAAAAAUGUUGAUAAUUUGGUAUCUAUCUAUAUUUUCUACUACUACUAUUGGAUAUGAAUAUAUACCAAUACGAGCUUAAAAUAUUGUCAAGGUAUGUUUACUAUAUAUUGGAAAGAAACAAGUAAUGUUGAAUAUAUUUUUUAAAGAUAUUUUAUGUGGUAAGUUUAGCCCAGGGAAAUUCGAACUCCUGGCUCCAUCCAUGAUUGCUUGACCUUAUUUUUACCAUAUCGAAUAUGCUCGAUGGUGUCUAUCAUGAUAUUGG